AGAACAGACGGCCCCGUAACACGGGCCGCCCCCGCCAGAGGACCCCCUAACUCUGUUUCUAUAAUGUUUCUUCUGAGUAAACAAGCAAAUAAAUUAAAACUUUCAACAACGGAUCUCUUGGCUCUGGCAUCGAUGAAGAACGCAGCGAAAUGCGAUAAGUAAUGUUGAAUUGCAGAAUUCAGUGAAUCAUCGAAUCUUUGAACGCACAUUGCGCCCGCCAGUAUUCUGGCGGGCAUGCCUGUUCGAGCGUCAUUACAACCCUCAGGCCCCCGGGCCUGGCGUUGGGGAUCGGCGGAAGCCCCCUGCGGGCACAACGCCGUCCCCCAAAUACAGUGGCGGUCCCGCCGCAGCUUCCAUUGCGUAGUAGCUAACACCUCGCAACUGGAGAGCGGCGCGGCCACGCCGUAAAACACCCAACUUCUGAAUGUUGACCUCGAAUCAGGUAGGAAUACCCGCUGAACUUAAGCAUAUCAAUAAGCGGAGGAA
This 486-nucleotide unclassified non-coding RNA is filed under the name Fusarium solani. RNAcentral describes it as "partial contains ITS1 and 5.8S rRNA". The stretch from base 98 to 252 matches the Rfam family "5.8S ribosomal RNA". The record is from RNAcentral. Lineage: Eukaryota; Fungi; Ascomycota; Sordariomycetes; Hypocreales; Nectriaceae.